UACUACCGAAGCUACGGCAUCAGUAAUGAUGGGUAGGGGAGCUUCCCAUACGGGUUGAAGCAUGACCGUAAGGACAUGUGGACAGUAUGGGAGUGAGAAUGUUGGCAUGAGUAGCGAGAUGUGGGUGGGAAUCCCACAGGCCGUAAACCCAAGGUUUCCAGGGGAAGGGUCGUCCGCCCUGGGUUAGUCGGGACCUAAGCUGAGGCCGAAAGGCGUAGGUGAUGGACAACAGGUUGAUAUUCCUGUACUACCGAUAACCGUUUGAGAGAAGGGAUGACACAGUAGGAUAAGCUAAGCACACUGUUGGUUAUGUGUGCCCAAGCAUUGAGG
This 330-nucleotide ribosomal RNA is filed under the name Clostridioides difficile. Its description in RNAcentral is "bacterial LSU rRNA". It matches the Rfam family "Bacterial large subunit ribosomal RNA", at positions 1189 to 1524 of the family's 2925-position model. The record is from RNAcentral. Lineage: Bacteria; Bacillati; Bacillota; Clostridia; Peptostreptococcales; Peptostreptococcaceae.